AACGAACGCUGGCGGCAGGCCUAACACAUGCAAGUCGAGCGCGCCCUUCGGGGUGAGCGGCGGACGGGUGAGUAACGCGUGGGAACGUGCCCUUCUCUGCGGAAUAGCCUCGGGAAACUGAGAGUAAUACCGCAUACGCCCUUUGGGGGAAAGAUUUAUCGGAGAAGGAUCGGCCCGCGUUGGGUUAGGUAGUUGGUGGGGUAAUGGCCCACCAAGCCGACGAUCCAUAGCUGGUUUGAGAGGAUGAUCAGCCACACUGGGACUGAGACACGGCCCAGACUCCUACGGGAGGCAGCAGUGGGGAAUCUUAGACAAUGGGGGCAACCCUGAUCUAGCCAUGCCGCGUGAGUGAUGAAGGCCUUAGGGUUGUAAAGCUCUUUCAGCUGGGAAGAUAAUGACGGUACCAGCAGAAGAAGCCCCGGCUAACUCCGUG
RNAcentral lists this ribosomal RNA (433 nucleotides) under uncultured bacterium. RNAcentral describes it as "partial 16S ribosomal RNA". It matches the Rfam family "Bacterial small subunit ribosomal RNA", at positions 29 to 507 of the family's 1533-position model. The record is from RNAcentral.